UACCAGCACCCCGAGUGGUCGGGGCGAUUAUUGGGCCUAAAGCAUCCGUAGCCGGUUCUACAAGUCUUCCGUUAAAUCCACCUGCUUAACAGUUGGGCUGCAGAGGAUACUAUAGAGCUAGGAGGCGGGAGAGGCAAGCGGUACUUAGUGGGUAGGGGUAAAAUCCGUUGAUCCACUGAAGACCACCAGUGGCGAAGGCGGCUUGCCAGAACGCGCUCGACGGUGAGGGAUGAAAGCUGGGGGAGCAAACCGG
Molecule: ribosomal RNA, 253 nt
Filed under: uncultured bacterium
Lineage: Bacteria
Description: partial 16S ribosomal RNA
Rfam family: Archaeal small subunit ribosomal RNA
Source: RNAcentral